ACAGAUGCACUAGGCUCAAGGAAUAGCUUAAAUAAUGAUGGUGGAGUGAGCUAACGUGCAUCAAGAACUGAAGGGGUAACUUAUUUUCUUAAGAAAGACCCGUUCCCAAACGGCCAAACUUUUUUUUUGUUGUCAUUAGGGAGAGAGAGAGUCUCCAUAGCUUUUUAGAGAGAGAGAGAGAGAGAGUUCGGGGAGCUGGUUUCGUUGAGGGAGGCUUCACGCCUCCCCCUCCCGGUUCUGGUUUACCCAUUGCCUUAUAGGGGAUGGUUGUUUGUGGGCGUGUAUCCAGCAAAGUUUAUCUAGCUGUGCUUGCUUUGGGUGUUUUUUCUUGGUGCUAGAUUUGUGAGCUUUAACUGGGUUUUUAUCGACACACACCUCUCUGUAGUGGUCGUUGGUGUGCUUCAGUCCGAUAGGCUCAAGAUGCAACUGUGCUUCUCUGUCCUAAUAGGCGUGUGGCCUAUACGCGCGGGGGAGUUUUCCUCCCUGGACCAGCGAGUGUGGGCCACGGCUUGUACAUUUCGGUCUUGGCUGGUGAAGAUCAUGGUUAUGUAGGCUGUCUGCUGCUUGGAGGUUUCCUGGGCGCGUGUUUCACAUGCGCCUGCUCCGACAACAAUCUUCCUUACACCGCUUACUCGGUGGUUUUCAUGUUUUUUUGUAUAUUCUUACUCUCUUUUCACAGUCUACCAUUGUAAUGAUUAUAUUUUACUUGAGCAUUUAGAUGGUUUGGGAGCUAGAUCAGCCCUCCUUUUUUUAGAUAGGAUGUGUUUUAUUGUAAGGAGAUGCUCAAAUGGUUGUUCUUAUAAUAUUUGUUUAUUAUUUUGGUA
Long non-coding RNA from Alnus glutinosa, 824 nucleotides. RefSeq lists it as uncharacterized. The record is from RefSeq and is a predicted model, not a curated record. The transcript has 2 exons. Lineage: Eukaryota; Viridiplantae; Streptophyta; Magnoliopsida; Fagales; Betulaceae.